RNAcentral lists this ribosomal RNA (261 nucleotides) under Escherichia coli. Its description in RNAcentral is "partial 23S ribosomal RNA". It matches the Rfam family "Bacterial large subunit ribosomal RNA", at positions 2688 to 2925 of the family's 2925-position model. The record is from RNAcentral. Lineage: Bacteria; Pseudomonadati; Pseudomonadota; Gammaproteobacteria; Enterobacterales; Enterobacteriaceae.
AGGACCGGAGUGGACGCAUCACUGGUGUUCGGGUUGUCAUGCCAAUGGCACUGCCCGGUAGCUAAAUGCGGAAGAGAUAAGUGCUGAAAGCAUCUAAGCACGAAACUUGCCCCGAGAUGAGUUCUCCCUGACUCCUUGAGAGUCCUGAAGGAACGUUGAAGACGACGACGUUGAUAGGCCGGGUGUGUAAGCGCAGCGAUGCGUUGAGCUAACCGGUACUAAUGAACCGUGAGGCUUAACCUUACAACACCGAAGGUGUUU